Molecule: unclassified non-coding RNA, 2650 nt
Filed under: uncultured Bordetella sp.
Lineage: Bacteria; Pseudomonadati; Pseudomonadota; Betaproteobacteria; Burkholderiales; Alcaligenaceae
Description: partial 16S-23S ribosomal RNA intergenic spacer
Rfam family: Bacterial small subunit ribosomal RNA (bases 1160-2650)
Source: RNAcentral
UUACCUUUGGCCAGACUUCACCCCAGUCAUGAACCUACCGUGGCAACAAGCCUCUCCCACGGUUGUAUUAACACUUGAAAAUUUCAUUCUUACGGUGCGACGGGCGGUGUGUUCAAGACCCGGGACCAGAGUUCACCGGGUGACACAGCACCGCGAUUCUGACUGCCAGGCCGAGGCAGACUGCGACGAUCGGCUUGAUUAUUCUUCUUCGGGCGACUCUCCAGUCCUGACCAUUGUACGACGUGAGUCUCAUCUAUUCAUGAGGAUUUCGGGAUUAUCCCCAUUCUCUCUCCGGUUUGUCAUUAUUGUGCAAAUUAAUUAUGUGGUUGUGGCCGAUUUUAACCCAACAGACUCAUUCGACACGAGCUGACGACAGCCAUGCGUUUACCUUGCAAUUCCGGUUCUCUGCGAGCAAUCUCUCUUUCGGGAUUCCAGACAUGUCGGGUAGCUACGCCGUGGUCGACCCAUCCACAUCAUCCACUGCUGGGUCCCCGUCAUCUUGCGACUGCAAUUUCAUCCUCGCGUCUCAGCUGUUGCUACUAUGUCUGAUUGACAUAGGCGUGGACUCACUGGUGGCAUCCUGUUUUGCUCCCGCCCUGCAUGAGCGUCAGCGUUAUCCCAUUCGUCGGCAAUUUCUCCGCAUAAGACUUACCGCUACAUGCGGAAUCCACCCUCCCUCUGACACAUUCUGUGGUAGUUAAAAAAAAUGCGGCUCCAAAAAGUUACCUGGGAUUCAUUAAUUUUUCUCUGACCUGUUUAUGCUUUUUUAUUGCCGUAAUCCCGGACUGACGCCGUGCCGGAUGCCGCUGGCCGUGGGUUAGCCGGCGUUUCGGCGGUACGCUAAGGCACGGGCUAUCCUGCGCCGCGCCCCGAAAACAUUUAACAACCCGAAGGUCCUUUCAUCGCACACGCGGGACGGCUGACUCUCCACCGGAAAUUUCACUGUUACCUCCGUAGGGAAGGCUAUGUGGCGUCCUCUCAAAUAGCUACGAUCGCCUUGCGAGUUGUGCCGCCUUCACCAAUCGAUGACGACAUUUCUCGAAGGGCGUAUGCGGGCAUAGCGCUUUUCAGCACCUUCGCGAGCCUGCGGCUGAUUUCACGUGGGCGAUCCCGCCAGCGUUCAAUCUGAGCUUGCGGAUCGGAUCCUGUUACUGGCUCGAUGCUCCCAGGUUCGAUCCUGGCUCAGAUUGAACGCUGGCGGGAUGCUUUACACAUGCAAGUCGAACGGUGGAAAACGCACGGACUUCGGUCUGGUGGCGAGUGGCGAACGGGUGAGUAAUGUAUCGAACGUGCCUAGUAGCGGGGAUAACUACGCGAAAGCGUAGCUAAUACCGCAUAGCCCUUCGGGGGAAAGCGGGGACCUUCGGGCCUCGCACUAUUAGAGCGGCCGAUAUCGGAUUAGCUAGUUGUGGUAACGGCUCACCAAGGCGACGAUCCGUAGCUGGUUUGAGAGGACACCAGCCACACUGGGACUGAGACACGGCCCAGACUCUACGGGAGGCAGCAGUGGGGAAUUUUGGACAAUGGGGAAAUCCCUGAUCCAGCCAUCCCGCGUGUGCGAUGAAGGGCCUUCGGGUUGUAAAGCACUUUUGGCAGGAAAGAAACGGCACGGGAUAAUACCCCGUGCAACUGACGGUACCUGCAGAAUAAGCACCGGCUAACUACGUGCCAGCAGCCGCGGUAAUACGUAGGGUGCAAGCGUUAAUCGGAAUUACUGGGCGUAGCGUGCGCAGGCGGUUCGGAAAGAAAGAUGUGAAAUCCCAGAGCUUAACUUUGGAACUGCAUUUUUAACUACCGAGCUAGAGUGUGUCAGAGGGAGGUGGAAUUCGCGUGUAGCAGUGAAAUCGUGUAGAUAUGCGGAGGAACACCGGAUGGCGAAGGCAGCCUCCUGGGAUAACACUGACGCUCAUGCACGAAAGCGUGGGGAGCAAACAGGAUUAGAUACCCUGGUAGUCCACGCCCUAAACGAUGUCAACUAGCUGUUGGGGCCUUCUGGCCUUGGUAGCGCAGCUAAUGCGUGAAGUUGACCGCCUGGGGGAGUACGGUCGCAAGAUUAAAACUCAAAGGAAUUGACGGGGACCCCGCACAAGCGGUGGAUGAUGUGGAUUAAUUCGAUGCAACGCGAAAAACCUUACCUACCCUUUGACAUGUUCAAAUCCGAAGAGAUUUUGGGAGUGCUCGCAAGAGAACCGGAACACAGGUGCUGCAUGGCUGUCGUCAGCUCGUGUCGUGAGAUGUUGGGUUAAGUCCUGCAACGAGCGCAACCCUUGUCAUUAGUUGCUACGAAAGGGCACCUAAUGAGACUGCCGGUGACAAACCGAGGAAGGUGGGGCUGACGUCAAGUCCUCAUGGCCCUUAUGGGUAGGGCUUCACACGUCAUACAAUGGUCGGGACAGAGGGUCGCCAACCCGCGAGGUAGCCAAUCCCAGAAACCCGAUUGUAGUCCGAUCGCAGUCUGCAACCAUCUGCGUGAAGUCGGAAUCGCUAGGUAAUCGCGGAUCAGCAUGUCGCGGUGAAUACGUUCCCGGGUCUUGUACACACCGCCCGUCACACCAUGGGAGUGGGUUUUACUCAGAAGUAGUUACUCAACCGUAAGGAGGGCGAUUACCACGGUAGGAUUCAUGACUGGGGUGAAGUCGUAACAAGGUAG